UGUGGCUUAGUGUGGAGUACUUGUCUUUUACUCAUGAAGCCCUGGGUUUGAUUCCCAGCA
RNAcentral lists this transfer RNA (60 nucleotides) under Neotoma lepida (desert woodrat). It matches the Rfam family "tRNA", at positions 6 to 65 of the family's 71-position model. From Rfam's summary of the family: Transfer RNA (tRNA) molecules are approximately 80 nucleotides in length. Their secondary structure includes four short double-helical elements and three loops (D, anti-codon, and T loops). The record is from Rfam by way of RNAcentral. Lineage: Eukaryota; Metazoa; Chordata; Mammalia; Rodentia; Cricetidae.